Molecule: long non-coding RNA, 2450 nt
Organism: Rhipicephalus sanguineus (brown dog tick)
Lineage: Eukaryota; Metazoa; Arthropoda; Arachnida; Ixodida; Ixodidae
Exons: 2
Source: RefSeq, a predicted model, not a curated record
UUCACCUCCGCCGGCGGUCUCCGCGCACGUGUCACGAAGUGUCGUCGGUGUCGUCAAGUAGCCGCAAAAGUCAAUACUCCCAUGAAAUGCGACGUUUGUGGCGUUGGCCUGUCUUCACUGGAAAAAUAUGUGGAGCAUCACAUCGCAGCGCACAAAUUCGCCGCCGACUACGUGCAGCAGGCGUUCCACAAAGAUAAAGAAUUCAGUGAAUGGAAAGCUCAGAAGAGGCGAACUGUUGGUUUGUUCUUCACACGGCUCCCAAAAAGCUGGCCAGUGGGGAAACGAGGAGCCACUACUACUCUAAUAGAUCAGGAGUGGCUAGGCCAAAGGAAGGUCAUGGUAAUCGUCGAGAAAAAAGUCAGGGUACCUGCAAGUCCGGUAAGAUAUGUCUUUCAUUUAUUACUGUGACGAAGAAGGAGAACACUCAGAGCCCGGCACCUGAAGAUAUCACCAUAAAUGUAAGGUACCAAAGAAAGCAUUAUGGCCAUAAAGCAGAAAUUCAGCACUUGAGGAUGAGUGACAAAGAAAAGGCCAACGGGGUUAACCAACGUAGCAGAGGACCUGGAGUGUGGUGUGCCCAUGAAAACCAUAUUGAAUAAUAUAAGAACAUCUGUUGGGGGCAUGUGAGCUGAGGCCAGCACAUUUGGCAGAAUGCAUAACUCUGCAUAACAUCAAACGGUAGUUUCACAUUGCUGCUCCUGAACAGUGUCACACCAAUGAUGCUGUCAGUGUAGAUAUGUGGGUGAAAGCAAUGUAAGACAAAGGUGAAACACUUGUCUGUCUGUAUAAGGCACAAGGUGCAGUGGACCCAACUGGUACUUUUGGUGCAACAGAUUUUGCCCUUGCUUUGAUGACAGAGCCACAAAAAGAGCUGUUAGAAGAAUUGGGCACGGGCACUGUGUGUCUUGACUCAACACAUGGAACUACAGGGUAACAGUUUGAGCUGACCACUCUUCUAGUGCUAGAUGAAGUGGGAUAAGGUAUACCUAUAGCCUAUUUCAUCUGCAACAGGAUGAAUGAGGAAAACUUGGCAGCUUUUUCAGGUCUCUUGAGUGUGCCAUCAACGAAAAAGUGGCUGCUAAGACAUUUAUGUCUGAUGACGCCUCACAAUUUUACAAGGCAUGGUCGUCAGUUAUGGGUGUCCCUCAGCAGAAACUUCUCUGCACCUGGCAUGUGGAUAGGAAUUGGCAGAAGAAGAUACAUGAGUUUGUAGAAAAACAACUGAGGCCAGACAUGUACCACAACGUGCGACUCCUUUUAGAGUUCCUUGACCAGCAAGAAUUUGAAAAGUAUCUUCAAUCAUUCCUUGACACUGAGGAAGAAAAACUGAGGGAUUUUCUGAAGUACUUCAAGGACAACUAUGCAGUUAGACCUCAAGAGCGGGCCUACUGCUUUAGGACGAGGGCAGGUAUCAACACCAACAUGCACCUUGAGAGCAUGCACAGGACGAUGAAGCACAGCAUGCUGGAAGGAAAGAAUAAGCGUGUUGAUAAACUAAUUUCUGCACUCAUGGACUUGACAUAUCAUUUUUUGAUGAAGAGGGCAAUCCAGAUGAUCAAAGGGCAAGAAGUUGAGUGCAGUUGAAAGGUACCACAGAUCUGGCACUGAAAUGGCAGGUUGUGCCAAAUUAAACGAAGACGGCACGUAGACUGUGCCAUCUCAGUCUACUAAAGGGCACUCUUAUACAGUGACAAAAGUCGGGGAUGCUGCUUGCUGUCCCUUGAGAUGCAAUGAAUGUGCAGUGUGUGCGCACCAGAUACACUUCAAAGUGUGCAAGCACAUUCACUGUGUGGUCAUUGCUAACACAUUGUCAAGCACUGACAAUGACGACUAUCAGAGCCCACCUGAAACUGUAACUGAAACGAGUCGGGCAUUGCACAUAGUGCAAAGCAUUGCAAAGCUGGAGGCGGCCACAACAGUGCCGAGCCAAAAGUCAUGGAUCGAUCUCGGCCGCGGCGGUCACAUUUCGAUGGAGGCGAAAUGGUAGAAGCCCGGGUACGUACGAUGGCAGUGCACGUUAAAGAACACCAGAUGGUCAAAAUUUCCGGAGCCCUCGACUACAGCGUGCCUUUACCUACCUCAUGGUUUUGGCACGUAAAACCCCAGAAAUUAUUAUUAUUAUUAUUGCCAAUGAUGACCACAUGCCUCAACAAAUAUGAAAAGUACUAUGUGUUGAUGUUGGCACUGGACCGAGGUUUCCACUAAAUAUAAAAUUUAAGUCACUCAUAUGUCUCAUCUGCUCUAUCUGACACAACUGCUGCUGUAAUUAAUAAUUGACUGGAAUGCAAAGUGUUCGAUUGGUGAACGUGCUGACCUGCCCAUUUCUCACUUAUGAUUUCUCAUUUCAGAUAUUGUAUUACUGAUUGUAGAGGUGUUAAAUGACAUUGAUUUCCCAAAGCUAUGGAGGAACCAAACCAGCAUUUUAAUAAAGCCUUAUUGUCAAAGCUUAA